AUGGAGAUGGAGUAUGUCUCCGGCGUCGAAGAGGUGGAGGCGCACUGUGCGAAUCGUGAACCCGAUAAGAUCUCGUUCUGUCUGCGCGCCUCCUUGCCCCUCAAAUCCAGCGGCGAACUGAUGAUCCAUGUCCGAGCGGGUCAUUCUGGUUUCCGCCUCUAUAAUCAAGAGCUUCUCUACUGUAAAUUCAAGGCCAAGAAUGCAAUCGAGCGUGGUUUCGAGCAGCUCAUAAAAGCCUCGGUAUGGGACCCCAUGGCUAAGGUUGAUGAUGCCAGCAUCUGCAUCGGCGAGCUCAACAGACUGCAGCGUACCGCCGACGCCGACAUGCCCCCGCGAGGCAGAAACCCUUUCAAUCUUGGAAAGGGUGCUCGUCACGUCGGGCGCCACCGGAACUUAAGAGAUCUCAAGAAGGAGGCCAUGGAAAGUCCUACUGAUGUUGGUUCUGGAUACGUCGAUUUCAGUCAACCUUUAGUUGCGGACCCUCUGACGUUGCCCCAAAUGCUCCUAUUAAAGUUGGCUUUGAGCAUUUUGAAGCCAGGCACCUUCAGCAGCACACGAUGGACUAAUUUGAAGACUGGUUUGCCUAAGGGAUCCCUUUGCCUAAUGAUGUUAAGUGCAGGAAUUGCAGUCAAGUACCCGAGUACAUUGCUUGAAGAGCUCAUGUUUGUUUCUGCUGCACUGGCCUUCUGA
RNAcentral lists this ribosomal RNA (690 nucleotides) under Triticum aestivum (bread wheat). Its description in RNAcentral is "partial small subunit ribosomal RNA". Lineage: Eukaryota; Viridiplantae; Streptophyta; Magnoliopsida; Poales; Poaceae. The record is from RNAcentral.